CGGUUCUUAUACCGGCGGCGGCGGCGGCGGCUGCGGCGGCGGCGCUCGGACGGUGACGUGGUGGCUGCGCUGCUCGUGCUACUGGCGCUUGCGCUGCCCAGCGUCUGCGGAGACUGGGCGGCUGGGGCGGCGCUGGAGGUGAGAGGAUGGACCUGAAGAGUUCCUGCGGGUGGCAGAGCUUGGGAGUGAGGUCCUCGAGGUGUCGGAGGGCCCUAUGAGUUCCCACCCAACCAGAGCUGUCCCCCAGGUGUCCCUGAGGUGCCUCUGUCCUGGUGUCCGACUCCCUGAGGCCCUGCAUGGUUGAUCCCGCCUGAAGAAUCGGCCGUUGUCCUCCAGUGGGCGCUGGAACCAAGUGUGUAAUGUCCCUUUAUGGAAUGCCUCCCGGCCAGGGCGUUGGCCCAGCAGUGUGGCAGCUCUCUGGAAGACACAGAGCCCCAACGAGCUCCACUUUUCGAAGGACACUUGCAAAGAUCUGAAAAGCUGGGUCGCACGUGUUUGUUCUGCAUGGAGUGAAGUCCCGCGAGAAGAAGGAGGCAAGGACAACAAUGCAGUAGGAAGAGGAUGCAUACACUGUCAUGGGUUAAUCUCUCACGCCUCCAGACUGCUUCCAGAUGCAAUCAUCGUCCAGUUCCUCCACAGUAUGAACAGCUGUGUUUCCUCUCCGUUGCUGGAUAACAAGGUGCAAACGCCACAGCCUGGACUGAAAGACCUUGCACGGUGUGUCUUUUGCUGGACUCUGUUCCUGGGUCCUCCUUUCCCUGCAUCACACAAAGUUUCAUGACAUCACCAGACCACACCCUCUUCUAACUCUGAGACAUUGCAUGUGUAGUUCCUUCUCCUGAAAGGCCCUUCACUCCUCUUUCAUGCUUACCCAGGAACUGAUCCCGGAGGUGGGUUGUGUGUUCAUUGUAUGGAUUUCAGUGGAAGAGGAAUAUUCCUUUGUUUGUUCAUAGACACACUCAGCCAGUACUGUUGAAUAUCUGCUACAUGCCUGCACUGUCAUAAGCUCCUGAGGAGCAUCCAUGAGCACAACUUCAAAAAUCUUUGUUUCAAAGGAUUGGAAUACGCAUUUUUCUAAAAGAUGAUAUACAAAUGGUUAAUGAGCACAUGAAAAGAUGUUCAAUAUCAGUAGCCAUUAGGAAAAUGCAAAUCAAAACUAUAAAUUAGAUAUUACUUCAUACCUAUUGGGAUAGCUGUUAUAAAACAGAACAAAAAUAUAAAGUAAGUAUUCGUGAGGAUGUGGAGAACUUGGACCCCUUUCGAACUGUGUAUAAAAUGGUGUAGUGCUGUGAAAAAAAAUUGGUAUUUCCUCCAAAAGUUGCAAUUACCAGAUAAUCUGGCUUUUUCAGUCCCAGACAUAUUCCAAAAGAACUUGAAAGCAUGGACUUAACACAGUUACAUGAACACCAAUGUUCACAGCAGCCAAGAGGCAGAAACAACCUGGGUUCCUAUCAAGUGAUGAAUGGUUAAACAAAAGGUGGUUGUGAGGAAAAUAGUUUAGUCAAGGCCCCUUGCCUCAGGUCCAGUUGGGGGUGGUGCAGCACCUUCUUUGUAAACAAGUUGUGUGGGGGUGGAGUUAGUGCGCAUGCCACCUGGGUACUUUUAGCUUGCUGCUAUUCUUGUGUGUUCUUCAGUGUGUGAAGCAGCAGCAGGCAGAGCUCACGUCUAAAAAUAGAGCACAUUUACUUUGCUGGCAGCUGCUCAGUUUUUCUUUGGACUUUGCCAGCAGCUGUUCAGUUUCUCUUUGGAAUGCCUAGCUCUUAGAUGUGUGUGUGCUGAAUAAAUAUUAUUCUUUCUUCAACCAAGGCUUCAAGGACCUUUUCCUGUUACCUAGCUCAUAGACCUGCAUGUGAAGGGCUUGUGAACAGGCUCGAGGGGUCUGUGAGCUCUGGACCCAGCCCUAGCUCUGCAGUGGUGUAUCCAUACAAUGGAAUAUUCUCCAGCAUUUAAAAGGAGUGAACUGAAGACUCAUACAUGCUACAACCUGAGUAAAUCUUGAAAGAGUAUGCCAAGUGAAAGAAGCUAGACACAAAAGGACAAUAGUGUAUGAUUCUGCUUAUAUGAGCUACCCAGAAUAAGCAAAUUUGUAGAGACAGAGAUAAAAUGGUAGUUGCCAGAUUGAGAGAAACAGGGUGGAGACAGGGAGUUAUUGUGCAACUGGUAAAGAGUUUCUGUUUGGGGUGAUGAAAAGUUCUGGAAAUUGUGGUGUUGGUUACACAACAUUGCAAAUGUACUUAAUGUCACAUAAUUAUACUCUGUAAAAUGUUUAAAAUGGCAGAUUUUAUGUUACAUAUAUUUUAUCACAAUAAAGGAAAAGAAUCUCUGUCA
Molecule: long non-coding RNA, 2328 nt
Organism: Cynocephalus volans (Philippine flying lemur)
Lineage: Eukaryota; Metazoa; Chordata; Mammalia; Dermoptera; Cynocephalidae
Exons: 7
Source: RefSeq, a predicted model, not a curated record